This 523-nucleotide ribosomal RNA is filed under the name Sanguirana sanguinea (Calamianes frog). Its description in RNAcentral is "partial 16S ribosomal RNA". It matches the Rfam family "Bacterial large subunit ribosomal RNA", at positions 1817 to 2568 of the family's 2925-position model. The record is from RNAcentral. Lineage: Eukaryota; Metazoa; Chordata; Amphibia; Anura; Ranidae.
CGCCUCUUGCCCCCCCAUAAGAGGUCCAGCCUGCCCAGUGACAUGAUUCAACGGCCGCGGUAUCCUAACCGUGCGAAGGUAGCGUAAUCACUUGUUCUCUAAAUAAGGACUAGUAUCAAUGGCACCACGAGGGCUACACUGUCUCCUUUUUCUAAUCAGUGAAACUGAUCUCUCCGUGAAGAAGCGGGGAUAAAUUUAUAAGACGAGAAGACCCCAUGGAGCUUAAAAUUUAAUGUACACCUCUUAGCCCACAUCAACUUAACCAAAGACAACUGUACAAAAAUUUUAGGUUGGGGUGACCACGGAGUAUAACACAACCUCCAUGACAAACGGGCAAACGCCCUUAUCUAUGAGCCACCGCUCUAAGAAUCAACAAUCUGAUGUUUUAUGAUCCGAUAACUCGAUCAACGAACCAAGUUACCCUGGGGAUAACAGCGCAAUCUACUUAAAGAGCUCCUAUCGACAAGUAGGCUUACGACCUCGAUGUUGGAUCAGGGUAUCCUGGUGGUGCAGCUGCUACUAA